This 597-nucleotide ribosomal RNA is filed under the name Pantoea dispersa. RNAcentral's name for it is "bacterial SSU rRNA". It matches the Rfam family "Bacterial small subunit ribosomal RNA", at positions 559 to 1156 of the family's 1533-position model. The record is from RNAcentral. Lineage: Bacteria; Pseudomonadati; Pseudomonadota; Gammaproteobacteria; Enterobacterales; Erwiniaceae.
CGUAAAGCGCACGCAGGCGGUCUGUUAAGUCAGAUGUGAAAUCCCCGGGCUUAACCUGGGAACUGCAUUUGAAACUGGCAGGCUUGAGUCUCGUAGAGGGGGGUAGAAUUCCAGGUGUAGCGGUGAAAUGCGUAGAGAUCUGGAGGAAUACCGGUGGCGAAGGCGGCCCCCUGGACGAAGACUGACGCUCAGGUGCGAAAGCGUGGGGAGCAAACAGGAUUAGAUACCCUGGUAGUCCACGCCGUAAACGAUGUCGACUUGGAGGUUGUGCCCUUGAGGCGUGGCUUCCGGAGCUAACGCGUUAAGUCGACCGCCUGGGGAGUACGGCCGCAAGGUUAAAACUCAAAUGAAUUGACGGGGGCCCGCACAAGCGGUGGAGCAUGUGGUUUAAUUCGAUGCAACGCGAAGAACCUUACCUGGCCUUGACAUCCAGAGAACUUAGCAGAGAUGCUUUGGUGCCUUCGGGAACUCUGAGACAGGUGCUGCAUGGCUGUCGUCAGCUCGUGUUGUGAAAUGUUGGGUUAAGUCCCGCAACGAGCGCAACCCUUAUCCUUUGUUGCCAGCGGCUCGGCCGGGAACUCACAGGAGACUGCCGGU